This 484-nucleotide ribosomal RNA is filed under the name uncultured bacterium. Its description in RNAcentral is "partial 16S ribosomal RNA". It matches the Rfam family "Bacterial small subunit ribosomal RNA", at positions 28 to 507 of the family's 1533-position model. The record is from RNAcentral.
AUUGAACGCUGGCGGCAUGCUUUACACAUGCAAGUCGAACGGCAGCGCGGGCUUCGGCCUGGCGGCGAGUGGCGAACGGGUGAGUAAUGCAUCGGAACGUGCCCAGUAGUGGGGGAUAGCCCGGCGAAAGCCGGAUUAAUACCGCAUACGACCUGAGGGUGAAAGCGGGGGACCGAAAGGCCUCGCGCUAUUGGAGCGGCCGAUGUCGGAUUAGCUAGUUGGUGGGGUAAAGGCUUACCAAGGCGACGAUCCGUAGCUGGUCUGAGAGGACGACCAGCCACACUGGGACUGAGACACGGCCCAGACUCCUACGGGAGGCAGCAGUGGGGAAUUUUGGACAAUGGGGGCAACCCUGAUCCAGCCAUGCCGCGUGCGGGAAGAAGGCCUUCGGGUUGUAAACCGCUUUUGUUCGGGAAGAACUCCUCUGGGCUAAUACCCCGGGGGGAUGACGGUACCGGAAGAAUAAGCACCGGCUAACUACGUG